CAUUAGAUCUUUUUAUAGAAGCCAUAGAAGAAGUUUCUUUGGACAAUCGAGAAAGGGAAACUAUCCUCUUCUCAUGCAGUCACACCUGUCACCCCUACUACACUCAUUGCUCCUAGAAUUGAAUCAAAGGGUAUGUCUGCUCCUGUGAUCUCAAUAGAGCCUGGGAGGAGAUUGAAGCAGCAGCAAAUGGACAUAUUUUUGAUAUAGAUACCGGGUGUGUCAGAUCCAGAGAAAGUUGGUGAUGGCAUAAAUGCUUAUAUGGCAUAUAGAGUAACAACAAAGACUUCUCUUUCCAUGUUAGUAAGAGUGAAUUUUCAAUUAAAAGAAGAGUCAGUGACUUUCUUGGUUUGCAUAGCAAAUUAGUAAGAAAGUAUUUACAUGUUGUUUACAUUGUGCCACCUACUCUGGAGAAGAACAUAGUAGGUAUGAUCAAGGUUAAAGUAUAUGAUGAAGAUUCAUCAUCCACAGAGUCUGCAGAAAAAUGGAGAGCAGCUCUAGAAUGGUAUCUUCAAAGUAAAACAUCGAACUUUACUACAGGAUCCUGAUUUAAGGUACUUCUUGGAAAGUUUAGAGCUGUCCAGAGCAGUUAAUACAUAGGCUCUAAGUGAAGCAGGAAUAUUGAGGAUGAUGAACUAGGCUGCCAACGCUGUCAACAAAAUGACAAUCAGGAUGAAUGAAUUGGAUGCAUGGUUUGAAGAAAAGCAGUGGCAAUUAGAGAAUCAAGACCAGCAACUUAGGAAACUUCAUGCCAGUGUUGAAGCCUUAGUUUGUCAGAGAAAAUAACUUUCAGCCAACACAGCUGCCAUUGCUAAAAGUGCUGCCAUGUUAGGUAAUUUUGAAGAUCAUAUUGCUUUAUCUAGAGCUUUGUCUCAGCUUGCAAAGGUUGAGGAAAAGAACAAGCUUUUGCUGACUUUUAUGUUUUCAGAACUACUUAGUGACUAUUUCGUCUUGUUGCUGCAGUGAAAGUCAUGUUUGACCAUCAAAUUGCAGUGCUGGCAAAAAUGGUAAGAUGCUCAGAUUACUUUGCUGAAAAAAAUGUGAAACUGAGGCAAAAAUGAUGGUUGCUAACAAAGCAGAUAAAACACAGCAAGCUAAAAAUGAAAUAUGAGAGUAGGAGGCAAAAGUACAAGGGGAAAGAGAUUUUGAACAGAUCUCUAAAACAGAUUUGAGAAAGAAUGAGAGAGGGAUUUUAAAACUGUUAUCAAGUACUUAGAAUCCUUAGUACAAACACAGCAGCAACAGCUGAUAAAAUACUGGGAAGCAUUACUGAGGAUGAAGAGAAAC
This 1284-nucleotide long non-coding RNA is filed under the name Marmota monax (woodchuck). The record is from RNAcentral. Lineage: Eukaryota; Metazoa; Chordata; Mammalia; Rodentia; Sciuridae.